GGAUUGUAGUCUGCAACUCGACUACAUGAAGCUGGAAUCGCUAGUAAUCGCGGAUCAGAAUGCCGCGGUGAAUACGUUCCCGGGUCUUGUACACACCGCCCGUCACACCAUGGGAGUCGGGAAUGCCCGAAGCCAGUGACCCAAGCGAGAGCAGGGAGCUGUCGAAGGCAGGCCGGAUAACUGGGGUGAAGUCGUAACAAGGUACC
This 206-nucleotide ribosomal RNA is filed under the name uncultured bacterium. RNAcentral's name for it is "partial 16S ribosomal RNA". It matches the Rfam family "Bacterial small subunit ribosomal RNA", at positions 1295 to 1500 of the family's 1533-position model. The record is from RNAcentral.